UAAGACACUAGUAAAGAUGAACAUUAUACUGCUUUGUCAAAGCAAAGACGCGGGUUAAAUCCCCGCGUGUCUUAA
RNAcentral lists this transfer RNA (75 nucleotides) under Liparis tessellatus (cubed snailfish). RNAcentral describes it as "tRNA-Asp". It matches the Rfam family "tRNA". From Rfam's summary of the family: Transfer RNA (tRNA) molecules are approximately 80 nucleotides in length. Their secondary structure includes four short double-helical elements and three loops (D, anti-codon, and T loops). Further hydrogen bonds mediate the characteristic L-shaped molecular structure. tRNAs have two regions of fundamental functional importance: the anti-codon, which is responsible for specific mRNA codon recognition, and the 3' end, to which the tRNAs corresponding amino acid is attached (by aminoacyl-tRNA synthetases). tRNAs cope with the degeneracy of the genetic code in two manners: having more than one tRNA (with a specific anti-codon) for a particular amino acid; and 'wobble' base-pairing, i.e. permitting non-standard base-pairing at the 3rd anti-codon position. Lineage: Eukaryota; Metazoa; Chordata; Actinopteri; Perciformes; Liparidae. The record is from RNAcentral.